This 497-nucleotide ribosomal RNA is filed under the name uncultured bacterium. RNAcentral describes it as "partial 16S ribosomal RNA". It matches the Rfam family "Bacterial small subunit ribosomal RNA", at positions 28 to 507 of the family's 1533-position model. The record is from RNAcentral.
GAUGAACGCUGGCGGCGUGCCUAAUACAUGCAAGUCGAGCGAACGGACGAGAAGCUUGCUUUUCUGAUGUUAGCGGCGGACGGGUGGGUAACACGUGGAUAACCUACCUAUAAGACUGGGAUAACUUCGGGAAACCGGAGCUAAUACCGGAUAAUAUUUUGAACCGCAUGGUUCAAAAGUGAAAGACGGUCUUGCUGUCACUUAUAGAUGGAUCCGCGCUGCAUUAGCUAGUUGGUAAGGUAACGGCUUACCAAGGCAACGAUGCAUAGCCGACCUGAGAGGGUGAUCGGCCACACUGGAACUGAGACACGGUCCAGACUCCUACGGGAGGCAGCAGUAGGAAAUCUUCCGCAAUGGGCGAAAGCCUGACGGAGCAACGCCGCGUGAGUGAUGAAGGUCUUCGGAUCGUAAAACUCUGUUAUUAGGGAAGAACAUAUGUGUAAGUAACUGUGCACAUCUUGACGGUACCUAAUCAGAAAGCCACGGCUAACUACGUG